GGCAGGAAGGGCUUGGCAAGGCAGAGGUCCCCAGGAACUGUGGCCAGAUCCGCCUCACAGGAAAGCUGGUUUCGGCUCAGAGGACCAGCAAAUGCGGUCGUGAAGCCGUUUACAGAAAAGAAGAUGGAAAAUGCUUGCCGUGGUGCUGGCUGAGGUGAGCUGCACCAGCCAAUGACUUGGUCGAUGCCCGGCGGGAGCUCACCGGCCACUGGUCAGGUCAGCAGGAGCCAGGGGUCCACUAGAGGGGACAUCCAGGAACAAGCUGUCUGCUUUGAAUUGGUUUUAGCAAUAGUUAAACGUCAGCAAAAGACUAAAACCCCCUCUUUUGCGGGGCCAGAAAUGCAGAAGGACUGCACUGGGUCUGCCCCUGGCUCGGUCUGUGCACCUUCCACACAGUUCUGCCAGCUUUCAAAUGCUGAUUAAUAAAUACAAGUCCAUAUAAAACCCC
This is a long non-coding RNA of Hyaena hyaena (striped hyena), 448 nucleotides long. RefSeq lists it as uncharacterized. The record is from RefSeq and is a predicted model, not a curated record. Lineage: Eukaryota; Metazoa; Chordata; Mammalia; Carnivora; Hyaenidae. The transcript is spliced from 2 exons.